Molecule: ribosomal RNA, 143 nt
Filed under: uncultured bacterium
Lineage: Bacteria
Description: partial 16S ribosomal RNA
Rfam family: Bacterial small subunit ribosomal RNA
Source: RNAcentral
CAGCAGUGGGGAAUAUUGCACAAUGGGGGAAACCCUGAUGCAGCGACGCCGCGUGAGCGAAGAAGUAUUUCGGUAUGUAAAGCUCUAUCAGCAGGGAAGAAAAUGACGGUACCUGACUAAGAAGCCCCGGCUAACUACGUGCC